UAAUAGCACAUGCUGAAUGACACCUAUAGAUGUUCCAAGGCCAACCUCAAAAGGCCAAACAGUGGGUGGUGACCCAGUUCCUGGAAACUCUCACUCCUGCUCCAAGAUAGCUAGACUAUUUCCCCCACUCAUUACCCUAUAAACUUACCCAUAAAAAUUAACCACCCUAUAUUUCAGGACCACUCUAACCUUCUGAGACAGACCACACUCUGUCUAUGGAAUGUGUAUCUCUCUAAACAAACUUGCUUUCACUUUCCUAUGGCUUGCUCUCAAAUUCUUUUCUGCAUCAAGUCAAGGACCCUCACUUGGCAACCCCUCCCAAGAACUGGCCAGAGAUGUGGGACAUGAUCAUUCUCUUGCACCCUGUUUUCCUGCAACAUCAGCAUCAGAUUAUUAUAAAGACUCAUAUUUAGUUCCUUGUCAGAACACUUCAAGGACUUGAGUAUGGUCCUCCUAUGUUGUACAUCUCUGUUGCUAGUAAAUGUACUUGAGCUAAAAACAGUCUGAACCAAUCAGCAUGCUCUCUGAUUAAAAAAAAAAAGAAAAGUUUUCUAUUUUCAGUUUUGUUGAGAUGUGAAAGAAGAAAUUCAGUGCUCUUGUUUAAUGGAUGAGAAGGUCUUCACUUCGGUAUUUCCAAAUCAAGCAAGUAUUAUCACCUCUUGGGAGAAACAGCAGGGUUAAUUUACCUACUUGGAUUUGAAUACUAGAGUGGAAAUUAGGCUGGUAUUUGCCUGGCUUAAAGAAUGAGACUGGAAAAGCAGUAUCAGUACAAAGCCUCGUGGUUUGUAUCGUGUUAAUCUUUCUUUCAGUACCAGCUAAGUAAUUUCUGUUUCAAAGAAAAGGCAGCGGCUUCUCUACCAGGAUAGCACCUCAGGUUGCACGGCGCUUUAAGAGUUCAGAUGCUCGACAGUAUGAUCUCAAUAUCUGAAUUCAUUUGAAUAGGAAGAAUGGUUAAAUAUGGACUCUUCACACAUUAUUUCAAAAGGCAAGGCCUUAUUAUUGCUAGCCCACAUGUCACUGGCUGCUGAAUGACACCGUGCACCGCAUUUCCUGGAAAUAAAAGGAGAGCUCCUUUGUUGUAAAUUCAUGCAUACGCUCUUGGGAAAUGAGGACAUACAGCAGAUGUAAAUCAGCUUUUAAUCCAGGUCCCAGUGUGGACAGUAUAGAAGAGAGCAGUGGUGGGAGUCAGGAGAAAAGAGAAUCCUAACUCGUGCCAAAGAAGAGAAGAGAAUAUCCUGUUUGUUUGUUUUUUGUUUUUUUUUUUUUAAAUCAGGUUGGAUCACUUAUACGUACACUCAGACACUAGUUUCUCUCUAUAUUGUUGAAUGCUCUCUUUAUUUCUUAAUUACUGGAGUUGAAGUGAAGCUUGACCCUAGUUAGAGAAAUCUCCAGCAGGACCUUCCUGGUCUAAAACACUAGGACCUCAUUUCACAGAGGGGCCUCCAAUAGGCACAGGAUUCCUGCAGGGCAAGACACUUGGAAGGCUGUGGAAGAACUGCUCUUAGAUGCCCCCAGAAGCCCCUCAGGGCAUAGUGCAUCCAGAGGUACCCAAUUCCCAGCAGGCUAGAGAUUCUUUGGGACUGGGUGGUGAGGCUUGCACCCUUAUCCUGUGCACCUCAUGUGCGUGCGCAAUCAUCUCCAACUCUUUGUGACCCCACGGACUGCAGUCCACCAGGCUCCUCUGUCCAUGGAAUUUUCCCGGCAAGAAUACUGGAGUGGCUUCCCAUUUCUUUCUCCAGGGGAUCUUCUUGACUCAUGGAUAGAACCCAUGUCUCCUACAUUGGCUGGUGGAUUCUUUACCACUCUGCUACCUGGGAAGCCCUCCUGUGUACCUUGGGUAUCCUCUAUUCCCCUUCUCAAGCUGCCUCUGCACAAGUUUGUUUCCGCAUGAGCCGCUCACGGGCCAGGUAAGGUGGAGAUAGUGAUGCUUUACUGCUUCUGUUCAGCUGCUUGCUAGAUAGUGGGUCUCCCAUGCAGUGCUGAUGGAUUUUCAAUGCCAUUCUAUUAGCCUGAUCACAGUAUAAUUCUACUUGGAUGCAAAAUUAGCAGCAGAAUCAUAUUUUACCUCUAGCUUCUAAUUGGCAAGAGUCACAUGCUUUUAUUAAACUAUUCCAAUCAAGGCUUCACAGCAUCAUACAUUCUGCUUAUCACUGGGCCCACCUGCAGCCAGCUCUCCUGCUCGCCUCUUAUCAGCAAAGCCAAUUACUUUCUCCUGUGCUUGCUUUGUGGUUUUGCUUAUAGACUCACCACACCUCCACAACUAAGCCUCUGGGGUAUUAGGUAAAUCCUAUUCCUGAUGAUCCUCCCUCCCAACCCUGCACAAGUUACUACCUUGAGGUGGUCUGUGAGUUCCGGUCUGUCUUCUUUUCUGCAGCCAAGAGUUUAGCAAGUAUUUUUUGAAGCAGUCAAGUAGACAUUGCACUAAGAAGCUUUGGAGGAAUGCAAAGCUGAAUAAAGUCGCGUGUGACUUGGAGGAGUUAAUUCAGCAAAUAAGAUCAGAAGAAGCCAAGUCAAAACCAGAUCUAAGUAAGGACAGAAACUUAUGAACCAGGCACUCAACUGACAAAUCUCAAAUAUACUGCAACAGAAGAGAAUAACUCCUUCCAGCAAUAAAAUCCUACAAUUAAUUUAU
Long non-coding RNA from Bubalus bubalis (water buffalo), 2632 nucleotides. RefSeq lists it as uncharacterized. The record is from RefSeq and is a predicted model, not a curated record. NCBI's taxonomy places the organism in Eukaryota, Metazoa, Chordata, Mammalia, Artiodactyla, Bovidae. The transcript is spliced from 2 exons.